GCGAAAACUUUACAAUGCUGGCAACAGCGAUAAGGGAACCUCGAGUGCCAGGAUACAAAUCUGGCUGUCGAGAUGCCUAAAAGGCAUUUCAUAGCAAGGGCCGGGCAAGACCGGUGCCAGCCGCCGCGGUAACACAGGCGGCUCGAGUGGUAACCGUUAUUAUUGGGUCUAAGGGGUCUGUAGCCGGCCGGAUAAGUCUCUUGAGAAAUCUGGCAGCUUAACUGUCAGGCUUUCAGGAGAUACUGUCUGGCUCGAGGCCGGGAGAGGUGAGAGGUACUUCAGGGGAAGGGGUGAAAUCUUGUAAUCCUUGAAGGACCACCAGUGGCGAAGGCGUCUCACCAGAACGGACCUGACGGCAAGGGACGAAAGCUAGGUGCACUAACC
RNAcentral lists this ribosomal RNA (384 nucleotides) under uncultured prokaryote. RNAcentral's name for it is "bacterial SSU rRNA". It matches the Rfam family "Archaeal small subunit ribosomal RNA", at positions 341 to 725 of the family's 1478-position model. The record is from RNAcentral.